UCUUGCACAGGAGGAUCAAGUUAAGUAAUAAAAUAAGAUAAACUUUAUAAAUCAUUUCCACAAACUGUAAAACUGAUCUGAUUAUCCUACUUAAGGUAAACUUAUCACUUUAUUAAUAUUAUUAGUAGUAUAAGUUAGUUAUAUAUAUAUAAGAAGGUCUAGAAAACAUUACAUGAUUUUGUUUCUUUCUGUAGCCAAGAUACCAAACAACAGAAUGAAAGAUCUAAAAUAAAAUUGCCAAUAACCCGUGAAAUUUAUUAAGGAUACCUUAGUUCAAGAGAAAUCUAAAAACGCGAAUGAAUACAAGAAAAUUGAUAACGUCGAUGAUCAUGUAAAUGUUAACUUAAACCUAACAUAACCUAACAUUCGCAAAUGCCAUAUAGGUGAACAGGAAUGUGAGAAACGGCGAAAAAGCGGCAGAUAGGCAUCGCGGCCAAGUCGAAAAUUGUGACGUUGCUCGGCAUUUGGUACAAUUUUUUCCAUGAAGUUAAUGUUAAUCAGUGGCGGACGUGACGUGGAUGGAGGGUGCUCGACUGGAUUUCAUGUCGGCCGCUGCCAGGCUUGUACAGCCUGUAUGCCAUAAACGUGCUGCCAUAAGUACUUUGGCAAUAUACAUCCCGGCAUCGGGACUCAUCCAUUACAACAGGCUAGCGCGUGAUCGUGCAACCACUCGUGGAGCACCGGCGCGCAACGCAGAAUCAUUUUGUACCGUUCAUUUCGGAACGACAAUCCACACCACCAGCGAGACUUUCCCAUAUUUUCGCCCGAUUCUUUUUCCGAAACGGACCCGCGAAAAAUGACGUUUUAUUGCUGCUAUGAAACACACACACGAAGGCCGAAGUGCUGUUCGAGUGGGCACCGAAUUUUCGACGGUCCAUGACGAUCCUCGAGGGCCGAGCUUCGCCGUUGCCAUUGUUGCAUGUUUUCAAAGUUCAUUCGCCUGUUGAUUGACAAAUUUUUGACUUGGUGGAGCGGCAGGGAUCGAACGAUUACUAUUGCCUGAUACAUGCUGGUUAUCUUCGAAGAAGAAAUUUUUCAGGUUUGCUUAUAUAAUGGAUUACCUUAUAUAUACUAUAAAUUUAUAUACAUAAUUAUACAUAAUUGAUUAUAAUCAUGUAGAAGGAUAACGAUAUAUCCUCUAGAGUAGACGAUCUUUGUUCGUAACGAUUCUACAGGCAACAAGAGAUCGUUGCACAAUGAGACCCGCAUAAGAGGUAUUAGGAGUACGCGUGUACGCAUCGCUAUACACAACCAGUGGUUUUCAACAUGAUAUACGUAAACUCAGGAUUAACUCCUUUAUCCUAUACCCAUCUCAUAAUACCACUCAACAUCCACUGGGCAAAUGAAAAAAUAACGAAAUAACUAACUCGGUAACUUCUGAUAAACGGAAGCAUUAUAUCUUUUAAACUGAUGAAAUCAUCAACCGAUUUCUGAAUAUCAACAAUAUUUAGAAAAUAUAUUCUAAACAAAGAAUGCUGCAUUAUGGAAGGACAAUCUAUGCAAUUUAAUUUUGGAACAUAAUCAGAGUUACAUAUGUAUUAAUUUAAUAUUACAAUUCGACUACUUAACACCACGACAUAUGAGAAGGAUAAUGACAUUUGAAUUGCAACGAUUAGGAAGUUCCCCUGGACGGCGCGUGAAGGACGAUGAAGGAAGGCGCGCCAUUAAAAGACGGACGGCCAUUAACAUCCGCAAAACGCUGUCAAUUGACCGUCCACAAAACAACUCUUUAACCUUUUCUUUGUGGACACCCCUCCCCGAGCUGUUCCCUUAUACCGGUGCUCCACGAUUCAAAAAUCGCGUGCGUUCUUUCACGCACGCUUUACUCAUGGGGGUCCCCAAGCAAAAUGCACACGCGCGUUCCACAUCUCGUCUAACUCCGGUCUCUUCCAUUCACUUGCGUUAUGUAUAGUGUACAGUGCCAUGUAAGUAUAAUAAAUAAGAACGCUUGAGGAUCCAUUGUGCCGAUUGUUUUCGAUGGCCUCGUCGAAAACGACGAGGCCUGUCGGCAGGGUGCACGCCACGGGGCACAUACACAUACACGCAUGUACUGACAAGUAUACCUAUAUACAUACAAGCUCCAUGCGUAUAUACAUGCACGAUUUUUCUUUCUGUUUCUUCCUGUCUCUUUUCCUUCCUAACGAUUUCCUUGUUCACGUCUUUUCUACAUGCUUCUACUUUUACACGGUCCAAUUUUUUUCUUUUCUCUUCUACCUUCUUCCUUGCCCAUAUCCGCGAAAGUCUCUUAAAUACUCCUUUAUUGCUAUAAGGAGAAAACAAGAACUCAGCAGGAUCCCUGAAUGCAACCACGAAAGCUGGAUACUCGGUCACAGUAAUACGACGUGUACGUGUUCACUGGCCGUGCUCGAGUACGUACUUGCAGCCUUUUCCUAGCUCGGUUUAAGACGGUAUUUCGAAGCGGACCGCGAGCUUCCAGUCCAUCAAGCAACUGAUCCUGCCCCUAUGUGAUUCCGUAUAAUGCUCCUUCCUAAGUGUUCCUUCGUCGAUCCUUUUCCAUCGAUCCCCCGAAUGUAUGUAUCGAUCAGCUAAAGAUAAAAAACGCUCGGGUGACUUCGUAAACCUAGAUACGUAUUGUACUGCAUAAAGAAUGCAAUCGGCCAGUGAAAAGCGAAGAAAAAAGGUGUAAAGCAAAAAAAGGUACUAAAU
This is a long non-coding RNA of Bombus pascuorum, 2667 nucleotides long. RefSeq lists it as uncharacterized. The transcript is spliced from 4 exons. NCBI's taxonomy places the organism in Eukaryota, Metazoa, Arthropoda, Insecta, Hymenoptera, Apidae. The record is from RefSeq and is a predicted model, not a curated record.